This 1686-nucleotide long non-coding RNA is filed under the name Homo sapiens (human). RNAcentral's name for it is "long non-coding RNA NONHSAT217332.1". The record is from RNAcentral. Lineage: Eukaryota; Metazoa; Chordata; Mammalia; Primates; Hominidae.
CGCGGUUGCACGUCGGCCCCAGCCCUGAGGAGCCGGACCGAUGUGGAAACUGCUGCCCGCCGCGGGCCCGGCAGGAGGAGAACCAUACAGACUUUUGACUGGCGUUGAGUACGUUGUUGGAAGGAAAAACUGUGCCAUUCUGAUUGAAAAUGAUCAGUCGAUCAGCCGAAAUCAUGCUGUGUUAACUGCUAACUUUUCUGUAACCAACCUGGUAUUCAAACAGAUGAAAUCCCUGUAUUGACAUUAAAAGAUAAUUCUAAGUAUGGUACCUUUGUUAAUGAGGAAAAAAUGCAGAAUGGCUUUUCCCGAACUUUGAAGUCGGGGGAUGGUAUUACUUUUGGAGUGUUUGGAAGUAAAUUCAGAAUAGAGUAUGAGCCUUUGGUUGCAUGCUCUUCUUGUUUAGAUGUCUCUGGGAAAACUGCUUUAAAUCAAGCUAUAUUGCAACUUGGAGGAUUUACUGUAAACAAUUGGACAGAAGAAUGCACUCACCUUGUCAUGGUAUCAGUGAAAGUUACCAUUAAAACAAUAUGUGCACUCAUUUGUGGACGUCCAAUUGUAAAGCCAGAAUAUUUUACUGAAUUCCUGAAAGCAGUUGAGUCCAAGAAGCAGCCUCCACAAAUUGAAAGUUUUUACCCACCUCUUGAUGAACCAUCUAUUGGAAGUAAAAAUGUUGAUCUGUCAGGACGGCAGGAAAGAAAACAAAUCUUCAAAGGGAAAACAUUUAUAUUUUUGAAUGCCAAACAGCAUAAGAAAUUGAGUUCCGCAGUUGUCUUUGGAGGUGGGGAAGCUAGGUUGAUAACAGAAGAGAAUGAAGAAGAACAUAAUUUCUUUUUGGCUCCGGGAACGUGUGUUGUUGAUACAGGAAUAACAAACUCACAGACCUUAAUUCCUGACUGUCAGAAGAAAUGGAUUCAGUCAAUAAUGGAUAUGCUCCAAAGGCAAGGUCUUAGACCUAUUCCUGAAGCAGAAAUUGGAUUGGCGGUGAUUUUCAUGACUACAAAGAAUUACUGUGAUCCUCAGGGCCAUCCCAGUACAGGAUUAAAGACAACAACUCCAGGACCAAGCCUUUCACAAGGCGUGUCAGUUGAUGAAAAACUAAUGCCAAGCGCCCCAGUGAACACUACAACAUACGUAGCUGACACAGAAUCAGAGCAAGCAGAUACAUGGGAUUUGAGUGAAAGGCCAAAAGAAAUCAAAGUCUCCAAAAUGGAACAAAAAUUCAGAAUGCUUUCACAAGAUGCACCCACUGUAAAGGAGUCCUGCAAAACAAGCUCUAAUAAUAAUAGUAUGGUAUCAAAUACUUUGGCUAAGAUGAGAAUCCCAAACUAUCAGCUUUCACCAACUAAAUUGCCAAGUAUAAAUAAAAGUAAAGAUAGGGCUUCUCAGCAGCAGCAGACCAACUCCAUCAGAAACUACUUUCAGCCGUCUACCAAAAAAAGGGAAAGGGAUGAAGAAAAUCAAGAAAUGUCUUCAUGCAAAUCAGCAAGAAUAGAAACGUCUUGUUCUCUUUUAGAACAAACACAACCUGCUACACCCUCAUUGUGGAAAAAUAAGGAGCAGCAUCUAUCUGAGAAUGAGCCUGUGGACACAAACUCAGACAAUAACUUAUUUACAGAUACAGAUUUAAAAUCUAUUGUGAAAAAUUCUGCCAGUAAAUCUCAUGCUGCAGAAAAGCUAAGAUCAAAU